CCUACGUGAGGCUGCAGUGGGGGAUAUUGCACAAUGGGCGCAAGCCUGAUGCAGCGACGCCGCGUGGGGGAUGACGGCUUUCGGGUUGUAAACCUCUUUCGUCGGGGGGCAAGGCUCUGCUUGGUGGUGGGGUUGAGGGUACCCGGUGAAGAAGCGCCGGCGAACUACGUGCCAGCAGCCGCGGUAAUACGUAGGGGGCGAGCGUUGGCCGGAAUUAUUGGGCGUAAAGGGCUCGUAGGCGGCUUGUCGCGUCUGCGGUGAAAAUGCGGGGCUUAACUCCGUACGUGCAGUGGGUACGGGCAGGCUAGAGUGCGGUAGGGGUGACUGGAAUUCCUGGUGUAGCGGUGGAAUGCGCAGAUAUCAGGAGGAACACCGAUGGCGAAGGCAGGUCACUGGGCUGUUACUGACGCUGAGGAGCGAAAGCGUGGGGAGCGAACAGGAUUAGAUACCCUUGUAGUC
This 459-nucleotide ribosomal RNA is filed under the name uncultured Actinomycetaceae bacterium. RNAcentral describes it as "bacterial SSU rRNA". It matches the Rfam family "Bacterial small subunit ribosomal RNA", at positions 338 to 795 of the family's 1533-position model. Lineage: Bacteria; Bacillati; Actinomycetota; Actinomycetes; Actinomycetales; Actinomycetaceae. The record is from RNAcentral.